CAGUGGGAGCCUCUUAAUGGGGUGACUGCGUACCUUUUGUAUAAUGGGUCAGCGACUUAUAUUCUGUAGCAAGGUUAACCGAAUAGGGGAGCCGAAGGGAAACCGAGUCUUAACUGGGCGUUAAGUUGCAGGGUAUAGACCCGAAACCCGGUGAUCUAGCCAUGGGCAGGUUGAAGGUUGGGUAACACUAACUGGAGGACCGAACCGACUAAUGUUGAAAAAUUAGCGGAUGACUUGUGGCUGGGGGUGAAAGGCCAAUCAAACCGGGAGAUAGCUGGUUCUCCCCGAAAGCUAUUUAGGUAGCGCCUCGUGAAUUCAUCUCCGGGGGUAGAGCACUGUUUCGGCAAGGGGGUCAUCCCGACUUACCAACCCGAUGCAAACUGCGAAUACCGGAGAAUGUUAUCACGGGAGACACACGGCGGGUGCUAACGUCCGUCGUGAAGAGGGAAACAACCCAGACCGCCAGCUAAGGUCCCAAAGUCAUGGUUAAGUGGGAAACGAUGUGGGAAGGCCCAGACAGCCAGGAUGUUGGCUUAGAAGCAGCCAUCAUUUAAAGAAAGCGUAAUAGCUCACUGGUCGAGUCGGCCUGCGCGGAAGAUGUAACGGGGCUAAACCAUGCACCGAAGCUGCGGCAGCGACACUAUGUGUUGUUGGGUAGGGGAGCGUUCUGUAAGCCUGCGAAGGUGUACUGUGAGGUAUGCUGGAGGUAUCAGAAGUGCGAAUGCUGACAUAAGUAACGAUAAAGCGGGUGAAAAGCCCGCUCGCCGGAAGACCAAGGGUUCCUGUCCAACGUUAAUCGGGGCAGGGUGAGUCGACCCCUAAGGCGAGGCCGAAAGGCGUAGUCGAUGGGAAACAGGUUAAUAUUCCUGUACUUGGUGUUACUGCGAAGGGGGGACGGAGAAGGCUAUGUUGGCCGGGCGACGGUUGUCCCGGUUUAAGCGUGUAGGCUGGUUUUCCAGGCAAAUCCGGAAAAUCAAGGCUGAGGCGUGAUGACGAGGCACUACGGUGCUGAAGCAACAAAUGCCCUGCUUCCAGGAAAAGCCUCUAAGCAUCAGGUAACAUCAAAUCGUACCCCAAACCGACACAGGUGGUCAGGUAGAGAAUACCAAGGCGCUUGAGAGAACUCGGGUGAAGGAACUAGGCAAAAUGGUGCCGUAACU
RNAcentral lists this ribosomal RNA (1160 nucleotides) under Escherichia coli. RNAcentral's name for it is "partial 23S ribosomal RNA". It matches the Rfam family "Bacterial large subunit ribosomal RNA", at positions 571 to 1735 of the family's 2925-position model. Lineage: Bacteria; Pseudomonadati; Pseudomonadota; Gammaproteobacteria; Enterobacterales; Enterobacteriaceae. The record is from RNAcentral.